RNAcentral lists this ribosomal RNA (522 nucleotides) under uncultured Anaplasma sp. Its description in RNAcentral is "bacterial SSU rRNA". It matches the Rfam family "Bacterial small subunit ribosomal RNA", at positions 71 to 625 of the family's 1533-position model. The record is from RNAcentral. Lineage: Bacteria; Pseudomonadati; Pseudomonadota; Alphaproteobacteria; Rickettsiales; Anaplasmataceae.
UUUUAUAGCUUGCUAUGAUAAAAAUUAGUGGCAGACGGGUGAGUAAUGCAUAGGAAUCUACCUAGUAGUAUGGGAUAGCCACUAGAAAUGGUGGGUAAUACUGUAUAAUCCCUGCGGGGGAAAGAUUUAUCGCUAUUAGAUGAGCCUAUGUUAGAUUAGCUAGUUGGUAGGGUAAAGGCCUACCAAGGCAGUGAUCUAUAGCUGGUCUGAGAGGAUGAUCAGCCACACUGGAACUGAGAUACGGUCCAGACUCCUACGGGAGGCAGCAGUGGGGAAUAUUGGACAAUGGGCGCAAGCCUGAUCCAGCUAUGCCGCGUGAGUGAGGAAGGCCUUAGGGUUGUAAAACUCUUUCAGUGGGGAAGAUAAUGACGGUACCCACAGAAGAAGUCCCGGCAAACUCCGUGCCAGCAGCCGCGGUAAUACGGAGGGGGCAAGCGUUGUUCGGAAUUAUUGGGCGUAAAGGGCAUGUAGGCGGUUCGGUAAGUUAAAGGUGAAAUGCCAGGGCUUAACCCUGGAGCUGUU